CGGGAGGCAGCAGCAGGGAAUAUUGUGCAAUGAACGAAAGUUUGACACAGCGACACCGCGUGUGGGAUGACGGAUCUAGGUUUGUAAACCACUUUCAGGAGGGAAGAAAAUGACGGUACCUCCACAAGAAGCCCCGGCCAACUACGUGCCAGCAGCCGCGGUAAUACGUAGGGGGCGAGCGUUGUCCGGAUUUAUUGGGCGUAAAGAGCUCGUAGGCGGUUCAACAAGUCGGUCGUGAAAGUUCAGGGCUCAACCCUGAAAUGUCGAUCGAUACUGUUGUGACUAGGAUACGGUAGAGGUGAGUGGAAUUCCGAGUGUAGCGGUGAAAUGCGUAGAUAUUCGGAGGAACACCAAUUGCGAAGGCAGCUCACUGGGCCGCUAUCGACGCUGAGGAGCGAAAGCUAGGGGAGCAAACAGGAUUAGAUACCCUGGUAGUCCUAGCUGUAAACGAUGGAUACUAGACGUAGGAACUGGAUUGACGGUUUCUGUGUCGCAGCUAACGCGUUAAGUAUCCCGCCUGGGGAGUACGGUCGCAAGACUAAAACUCAAAGGAAUUG
This 557-nucleotide ribosomal RNA is filed under the name uncultured bacterium. Its description in RNAcentral is "bacterial SSU rRNA". It matches the Rfam family "Bacterial small subunit ribosomal RNA", at positions 342 to 912 of the family's 1533-position model. The record is from RNAcentral.